AUGGCCGCGGCGGUCACUCGCAGAGUCAACGCCCUCCGAGUCGAGGUGCCGGAUGGCAACGCUGACACCGCAAACGCGCCCGCGGCCAAGCGGAUUCUCGACGCCAAGGACGACGUGUGGGUGUCCGCGGACGAUGGAACCAGUGCCGGCAACGGCAACCAGCCGCUGCUGUUCCGUACCAUGAAGGUUAAGGGAAGCAUCCUGCAUCCUUACAGGUUCUUGAUUCUCGUGCGCUUGGUCGCCGUUGCCGCCUUCUUCGCAUGGCGCCUGGAGCACAGGAACCACGAUGGCACGUGGCUGUGGGCCACGUCAAUGGUAGCGGACGCCUGGUUCGGCUUCUCAUGGCUCCUCAACCAGCUCACCAAGCUCAACCCCAUCAAGCGUGUCCCCGACCUCGCCACCCUCGCGGACCAGCACGGCGAGGCCAUCCUCCCGGGGAUCGACGUCUUCGUCACCACUGCCGACCCUGUGGACGAACCCGUCCUUUACACCGUUAACACCGUCCUCUCUAUCCUCGCCGCCGACUACCCCAUCGACAAGUACGCCUGCUACCUCUCAGAUGACGGUGGCACGCUGGUGCACUACGAGGCGAUGACCCAAGUGGCCAGUUUCGCUGCGUUGUGGGCCCCGUUCUGCCGGAAGCAUUGCGUCGAGCCAAGGUCCCCAGAGAACUACUUUGGGAUGAAAGCACAGCCGUAUGCCGGGAGUAUGCCGGGAGACUUCACGAGGGAUCGUAGGCGUGUGCGCAGAGAAUACGACGAGUUCAUGGUGAGAAUAGAUUCCCUUUCUACAACCAUCCGCCAACGGUCCGAUGCAUACAACAAUGGAGAUGGUGUACAUGCCACUCGGAUGGCCGAUGGGGCACCAUGGCCGGGUACAUGGAUUGAGCAAGCUGAGAACCAUCGAAGAGCACAACAUGCUGGGAUUGUUCAGGUCAUACUAGAACAUCCAGGUUGUAAACCGCAGCUUGGAUCAUCGGCGAGCACCGACAAUCCCUUUGACUUCAACAACGUUGAUAUGAGACUCCCGAUGCUUGUCUACAUAUCCCGGGAGAAGCGGCUUGGUUAUGACAACCAAAAGAAGGCAGGCGCCAUGAACGCCAUGCUCCGUAUCUCGGCGUUGCUCUCCAACGCGCCCUUCAUAAUUAACUUUGACUGCGACCACUACAUCAACAAUUCGAAAGCUCUUCGUGCCCCUAUGUGCUUCAUGCUCGACCCUCGUGACGGUCAGAACACGGCCUUCGUCCAAUUCCCACAACGCUUUGACGACGUCGACCCGACAGAUCGCUACGCCAACCACAACCGUGUCUUCUUCGACGGCACCAUGCUCGCGCUCAACGGUCUCCAAGGGCCUUCCUACCUUGGCACUGGCACGAUGUUCCGCCGUGUCACACUCUACGGCAUGGAGCCGCCACGUUAUCGGGUGGAGAACAUUAAGCUUGUAGAUAAUGCACAUGAGUUCGGUAACUCGACAUCGUUCACGAACUCGAUGCCGGAUGGCGCGAUCCAAGAGCGAUCUAUCACCCCAGUGUUGGUCGACGAGGGGCUCAUCAAUGACUUGGCCACCCUGAUCACAUGCGCUUACGAGGACGGGAGUUCAUGGGGGAGAGACAUCGGGUGGGUGUACAACAUUGCGACGGAGGACGUGGUGACUGGAUUCCGCAUUCACCGCCAAGGGUGGCGUUCCAUGUAUUGCUCCAUGGAGCCGGCCGCGUUCCGUGGGACGGCUCCGAUCAACCUCACCGAGCGCCUCUACCAGGUGCUCCGGUGGUCCGGCGGCUCCCUUGAGGUGUUCUUCUCCCACAACAAUGCCCUCAUAGCUGGCCGCCGGCUCCACCCUCUACAACGCAUUGCCUACUUCAACAUGUCGACGUACCCGAUCGUCACGGUGUUCAUCCUGGCCUACAACUUCUUCCCGGUCAUGUGGCUCUUCUCCGAGCAGUUGUACAUCCAGAGGCCGUUUGGCACGUACAUCGCGUACCUCGUCGCCGUCAUAGCGAUGAUGCACGUGAUCGGCAUGUUCGAGGUUAAAUGGGCGGGGAUCACGCUGCUCGACUGGUGCCGCAACGAGCAGUUCUACUUGAUCGCAGCGACCGGCGUGUACCCGACAGCCGUGCUGUACAUGGCGUUGAAGCUCGUGACGGGUAAGGGGAUGCACUUCAGGCUCACAUCCAAGCAGACGGAGGCCUGCUCCCGCGACAAGUUCGCCAACCUGUACACGGUGCGAUGGGUGCCGCUGCUGAUCCCGACCACCGCGGUGCUCGUUGUGAACGUCGCGGCCGUCGGGGCGGCCAUCGGCAAGGCGGCGGCAUGGGGAUUUUCUACGGACCAGGCGCGGCACGUGCUGCUCGGGAUGGUGUUCAACGUGGGGACCCUCAUGCUCCUCUACCCGUUUGCACUCGGCAUCAUGGGGAAACGGGGGAAGACACCCGUCAUCCUAUUCGUCCUGCUGCUCAUGGCCAUUGCCGCCGUCGGGCUCUUGUAUGUCACGCUCUACGCCCCGUACCCGCAAGAAUCUCUGACGUUUCUCUCUUGGUAA
This 2538-nucleotide ribosomal RNA is filed under the name Triticum aestivum (bread wheat). RNAcentral's name for it is "partial small subunit ribosomal RNA". The record is from RNAcentral. Lineage: Eukaryota; Viridiplantae; Streptophyta; Magnoliopsida; Poales; Poaceae.